AUUGAACGCUGGCGGCAUGCCUUACACAUGCAAGUCGAACGGCAGCACGGGAGCAAUCCCGGUGGCGAGUGGCGAACGGGUGAGUAAAGUAUCGGAACGUGCCCAGUCGUGGGGGAUAACGUAGCGAAAGUUACGCUAAUACCGCAUACGAUCUAUGGAUGAAAGCGGGGGAUCGCAAGACCCCGCGCGAUUGGAGCGGCCGAUAUCAGAUUAGGUAGUGGGUGGGGUAAAGGCUCACCAAGCCGUCGAUCUGUAGCUGGUCUGAGAGGACGACCAGCCACACUGGGACUGAGACACGGCCCAGACUCCUACGGGAGGCAGCAGUGGGGAAUUUUGGACAAUGGGCGAAAGCCUGAUCCAGCCAUGCCGCGUGCAGGAUGAAGGCCUUCGGGUUGUAAACUGCUUUUGUACGGAACGAAAAGGUUUGGCCUAAUAAGCUGAGCUCAUGACGGUACCGUAAGAAUAAGCACCGGCUAACUACGUGCCAGCCGCCGCAGUAA
RNAcentral lists this ribosomal RNA (500 nucleotides) under uncultured bacterium. Its description in RNAcentral is "partial 16S ribosomal RNA". It matches the Rfam family "Bacterial small subunit ribosomal RNA", at positions 30 to 523 of the family's 1533-position model. The record is from RNAcentral.